GAUGAAGAACGUAGCGAAAUGCGAUAAGUAAUGUGAAUUGCAGAAUUCAGUGAAUCAUCGAAUCUUUGAACGCACAUUGCGCCCGCCAGUAUUCUGGCGGGCAUGCCUGUUCGAGCGUCAUUUCAACCAUCAAGCCCCAGGCUUGUGUUGGGGACCUGCGGCUGCCGCAGGCCCUGAAAACCAGUGGCGGGCUCGCUGUCACACCGGGCGUAGUAGAUUUUAUCUCGCCCAGGGCGUGCUGCGGGUCCCGGCCGUUAAAAGCCUUUUUUUACCCAAGGUUGACCUCGGAUCAGGUAGGAAGACCCGCUGAACUUAAGCAUAUCAAUAAGCGGAGGA
Molecule: unclassified non-coding RNA, 336 nt
Filed under: soil metagenome
Description: partial contains 5.8S ribosomal RNA, internal transcribed spacer 2, and large subunit ribosomal RNA
Rfam family: 5.8S ribosomal RNA (bases 1-120)
Source: RNAcentral